GAUGAACGCUGGCGGCGUGCCUAAUACAUGCAAAUCGAGCGAACGGACGAGAAGCUUGCUUCCCUGAUGUUAGCGGCGGACGGGUGAGUAACACGUGGAUAACCUACCUAUAAGACUGGGAUAACUUCGGGAAACCGUAGCUAAUACCGGAUAAUAUUUUGAACCGCAUGGUUCAAAAGUGAAAGACGGUCUUGCUGUCACUUAUAGAUGGAUCCGCGCUGCAUUAGCUAGUUGGUAAGGUAACGGCUUACCAAGGCAACGAUGCAUAGCCGACCUGAGAGGGUGAUCGGCCACACUGGAACUGAGGCACGGUCCAGACUCCUACGGGAGGCAGCAGUAGGGAAUCUUCCGCAAUGGGCGAAAGCCUGACGGAGCAACGCCGCGUGAGUGAUGAAGGUCUUCGGAUCGUAAAACUCUGUUAUUAGGGAAGAACAUAUGUGUAAGUAACUGUGCACAUCUUGACGGUACCUAAUCAGAAAGCCACGGCUAACUACGUG
Molecule: ribosomal RNA, 497 nt
Filed under: uncultured bacterium
Lineage: Bacteria
Description: partial 16S ribosomal RNA
Rfam family: Bacterial small subunit ribosomal RNA
Source: RNAcentral